GUGAAUCAUCAAAUUCUUGAACGCAAAUUGCACUCUCUUCGGAGAGUAUGCCGGUUUGGGGGUCAGUAUUAAUAAAAAUCGGUGUGUUGCUUCUUUGUGACGCGUCGGAGUUUGGGUCAUCUUAAUAUCCUUUAGGUUUUAAGAGGCUUAAAAUUGGCUUUUUUUUGGCAUUUUAUAGGUCGAAAAAUCUUUUUUUUUGUUCG
This 203-nucleotide unclassified non-coding RNA is filed under the name Glomeraceae sp. Its description in RNAcentral is "partial contains 5.8S ribosomal RNA and internal transcribed spacer 2". The stretch from base 1 to 65 matches the Rfam family "5.8S ribosomal RNA", at positions 84 to 154 of the family's 154-position model. Lineage: Eukaryota; Fungi; Glomeromycota; Glomeromycetes; Glomerales; Glomeraceae. The record is from RNAcentral.